RNAcentral lists this ribosomal RNA (471 nucleotides) under uncultured organism. Its description in RNAcentral is "partial 16S ribosomal RNA". It matches the Rfam family "Bacterial small subunit ribosomal RNA", at positions 329 to 797 of the family's 1533-position model. The record is from RNAcentral.
ACGUACACCCCUACGGGAGGCAGCAGUGAGGAAUAUUGGACAAUGGGUGGAAGCCUGAUCCAGCCAUCCCGCGUGCAGGAAGACGGCCCUAUGGGUUGUAAACUGCUUUUAUCUGGGGAUAAACCUACUUACGUGUAAGUAGCUGAAGGUACCAGAAGAAUAAGCAACGGCUAACUCCGUGCCAGCAGCCGCGGUAAUACGGAGGGUGCAAGCGUUAUCCGGCUUUAUUGGGUUUAAAGGGUCCGUAGGCGGACUGAUAAGUCAGUGGUGAAAUCCGACAGCUUAACUGUCGAACUGCCAUUGAUACUGUUAGUCUUGAGUAAGGUUGAAGUGGCUGGAAUAAGUAGUGUAGCGGUGAAAUGCAUAGAUAUUACUUAGAACACCAAUUGCGAAGGCAGGUCACUAAGUCUUAACUGACGCUGAUGGACGAAAGCGUGGGGAGCGAACAGGAUUAGAAACCCUAGUAGUCCC